AUGGCCGCGGCCGUCCCCAAACCCAUCUUGCGACGAGUCACCCGCAUCAUUCGCGAUUUCCUCUGGCAUGGAUGCAAAGACGCACGCGCUGGCUGUUGCCUUGUCAGUUGGGCCAAGGUCUGUCGCCCUGUUGAGCUGGGCGGUCUCGGCGUGCGCGACCUUCACCACGCUGGCGUUGCGCUGCGCACUAGAUGGCUCUGGUUGCAGGCCACGGACCCGACGCGCCCAUGGCGCCACCUUCACUUGCCGCAUGAUCGCGAGGUUCAGCAAAUCUUCAGAGCUUCCACUGUCUGGACGAUUGGCGAUGGCAAUACUUGUAGGUUCUGGACAGAUCACUGGCUCCACGGCCAAUCCAUCGCCGAAAUCGCCCCCACCCUCGUGGCCUUGGUUCCACGGAGAAGAAGGCGCACGCGCCUUGUCUGCGACGGGCUGCGCAACCAAGGUUGGAUUUCUGACAUCACCGGCGCCCUUGGCCCACUGGCAACCCUCGAGUACGUCGACCUUUGGUGCUGCCUGCGGACGGUUUCCCUCUCACCCGUUUCGGACGCGCUCUCUUGGCGUUGGACCGCGACGGGAGCCUAUACUGCCAGCUCCUGCUACACCGCUUUGUUCGUUGGAUCGACUACCGCACCCUUCUGGAAGCUGAUCUGGCGCAGCUGGGCACCACUCAAUGUCAAGUUUUUCUUGUGUCUAGCUUCUCAAAAUCGAUGCUGGACUGCCGAUCGCCUGGCACGCCGCGGGCUCCCGCACCCCGCCGCUUGCCAGUUCCGCGACCAGGAUGACGAAACCCUGCACCACAUCCUCGCCGGCUGUGUGUUUGCGUGUAUUACUUAG
RNAcentral lists this ribosomal RNA (834 nucleotides) under Triticum aestivum (bread wheat). RNAcentral describes it as "partial small subunit ribosomal RNA". Lineage: Eukaryota; Viridiplantae; Streptophyta; Magnoliopsida; Poales; Poaceae. The record is from RNAcentral.